This 237-nucleotide long non-coding RNA is filed under the name Homo sapiens (human). RNAcentral's name for it is "HSALNT0133353". Lineage: Eukaryota; Metazoa; Chordata; Mammalia; Primates; Hominidae. The record is from RNAcentral.
CAUGAUAUGUGUUUUCAAGCAUACUCCUAAUGGAAGUCAGUUUGAAUCCUUCACUUCAAACUAGUUUGACAUUGCAAGAAUCACAAGAAAGAAUGAGACCACUAAGACCGUCAAGCUGAAGGCGAGAGCAACAAAAUCAGAGGCCAGCUAGGGAUUGGACAGCAAAAGAGACUUGGCAAGGUAGGAAAAUCAGCUUCAUGUGAUAUGUGUCAAUCCUGGCAGUAAGAUCCAUAUACA